This is a long non-coding RNA of Felis catus (domestic cat), 1055 nucleotides long. RefSeq lists it as uncharacterized. The transcript is spliced from 3 exons. The record is from RefSeq and is a predicted model, not a curated record. Lineage: Eukaryota; Metazoa; Chordata; Mammalia; Carnivora; Felidae.
UGGCAACCCUCAUGAACAACUCCAACCCUGCCGGUUCCUUUAUCAAGAUGUAUCAUCUCUUUUAGACCUGAUAGUGGUGUGCUCAACUGCAGCUCUGUGCCCUGGAAGGAGCUUCUUACUUCUCUACUGAGAAAGAGGACAUUGUGGUCUGGGAGAAGGAUUCGCCUUCUCAUAUUCAUUCAUAACACUAAUUAUCCUGAUAGAUCCACAUCCUGCUACUGGAUUUCCUUGAUUGAGCCUUGGGGACAAUCAUCUAUACUAAAUUGAGACAUGGGGUGCGUGGGGACUCCCUAAUGUGCCCUGAAGGAGUUAGCUGCAAAGGUGAUGGGCGAGAGCCAGACUCCAUGCUGGGGACACCAGCCAGGUGCUUUCUGGUCACCAGAGCUUCCAGUAUCUCUCACUUGAGGAUGCCUGGGCCUGCCCCAGCAUGGCUUCCCAGAUUCCAGUAAGAUUGGGUAGAUCUAUCUGGAUGGUUCUGGAAGGACAUAAGAGUGCGAGAAAUUAAGGCAUCAGAGUUUGGGACACUCACCACAACUAGAUACAAAAUUGUGACAUAGUCACACAAUGGAUUCUUACACAGGAUGGAAAAUAAUUUUUCACAUGUAAAGAUGUGAUGAAAUACCAAACAUAUAAUGUUGAACGAAAGGUGCCAGUCACAAAAAUACAUAGUAUAUGGUUCCAUGUAGGUGAAAUUCAGUAAUAGCUAGGAAGAAAGAUGAUUAAUAGUAGAUAGAUGGUAGCUUUGUUUAUUUGUUUAUAGUAGCAUAGUAACGGAAGUCAGAACUUACCCACAAAAAGGGCCAAGAAAGUUUUCUGGGGUGUUAAGAAUAUUCUACAUUUUGGCACAGGUGGUGGUUGCAAAGGUGCAAAUGCGUAAAAUUCUGUCGAACCACACACACGAGUACUUUAAGCCAAAAUUAAAGCAACAAGUGUUUAAAAUGAUUAUCUGAUGAUAAAUUUAUUGGUGAUUUUUCUUUUUUCUGUGUCUAUUUUCCAACUUUUAUACAAAGAAUGAAUGUCUUUUCUGUAAUGAGAAAAGACCAUCAACAUUAAAA